AGACGUCUACAUUAGACUACCCCGGGUAGUCCCAGCCGUAAACUAUGCUCGCUAGGUGUCAGGCAUGGCGCGACCGUGUCUGGUGCCGCGAGGGAAGCCGUGAAGCGAGCCACCUGGGAAGUACGGCCGCAAGGCUGAAACUUAAAGGAAUUGGCGGGGAGCACCACAACGGGUGGAGCCUGCGGUUUAAUUGGACUCAACGCCGGGAAGCUCACCGGAUAAGACAGCGGAAUGAUUGCCGGGCUGAAGACUCUGCAUGACUAGCUG
Molecule: ribosomal RNA, 267 nt
Filed under: uncultured archaeon
Lineage: Archaea
Description: partial 16S ribosomal RNA
Rfam family: Archaeal small subunit ribosomal RNA
Source: RNAcentral